CAGAGGGGGCAAGCGUUGUUCGGAAUUACUGGGCGUAAAGGGCGCGUAGGCGGCCUGCUAAGUCGAACGUGAAAUCCCUGGGCUCAACCCAGGAACUGCGUCCGAUACUGGUUGGCUUGAAUCCGGGAGAGGGAUGUGGAAUUCCAGGUGUAGCGGUGAAAUGCGUAGAUAUCUGGAGGAACACCGGUGGCGAAGGCGACAUCCUGGACCGGCAUUGACGCUGAGGCGCGAAAGCCAGGGGAGCAAACGGGACUAGAUACCCCGGUAGUCCUGGCCCUAAACGAUGAAUGCUUGGUGUGGCGGGUAUCGAUCCCUGCCGUGCCGAAGCUAACGCAUUAAGCAUUCCGCCUGGGGAGUACGGUCGCAAGGCUG
This 372-nucleotide ribosomal RNA is filed under the name uncultured organism. RNAcentral describes it as "bacterial SSU rRNA". It matches the Rfam family "Bacterial small subunit ribosomal RNA", at positions 526 to 896 of the family's 1533-position model. The record is from RNAcentral.